AGAACGAACGCUGGCGGCAGGCUUAACACAUGCAAGUCGAACGCUCGUAGCAAUACGGGAGUGGCAGACGGGUGAGUAACGCGUGGGAACAUACCCUCCGGUUCGGAAUAGCUCAGGGAAACUUGGAUUAAUACCGGAUACGGCUGAGAGGCGAAAGAUUUAUCGCCGGAGGAUUGGCCCGCGUUCGAUUAGCUUGUUGGUGAGGUAACGGCUCACCAAGGCUAUGAUCGAUAGCUGGUCUGAGAGGAUGAUCAGCCACAUUGGGACUGAGACACGGCCCAAACUCCUACGGGAGGCAGCAGUGGGGAAUAUUGGACAAUGGGCGCAAGCCUGAUCCAGCCAUGCCGCGUGAGUGAUGACGGCCUUAGGGUUGUAAAGCUCUUUCGCUCGGGACGAUAAUGACGGUACCGAGAUAAGAAGCCCCGGCUAACUUCGUGCCAGCAGCCGC
RNAcentral lists this ribosomal RNA (448 nucleotides) under uncultured bacterium. RNAcentral describes it as "SSU rRNA". It matches the Rfam family "Bacterial small subunit ribosomal RNA", at positions 26 to 518 of the family's 1533-position model. The record is from RNAcentral.